UAUGCCUACGGGACGCAGCAGUCGGGAAUAUUGCGCAAUGGAGGAAACUCUGACGCAGUGACGCCGCGUGCAGGAAGAAGGUUUUCGGAUUGUAAACUGCUUUAGAUAGGGAAGAAAAAAAUGACAGUACCUAUAGAAUAAGCUCCGGCUAACUACGUGCCAGCAGCCGCGGUAACACGUAGGGAGCGAGCGUUAUCCGGAUUUAUUGGGUGUAAAGGGUGCGUAGAUGGAUAAACAAGUUGGUUGUGAAAUCCCUCGGCUUAACCCCGGGACUGCUUUGGAAACUGUAUGGCUGGAGUGCUGGG
Molecule: ribosomal RNA, 305 nt
Filed under: uncultured bacterium
Lineage: Bacteria
Description: bacterial SSU rRNA
Rfam family: Bacterial small subunit ribosomal RNA
Source: RNAcentral